GGGCGGGUGGCGAAAUGGUAUACGCGCGUGGCUUAGGACCACGUGGAGCAAUCCGUGGAGGUUCAAGUCCUCUCCCGCCCACAA
Molecule: transfer RNA, 84 nt
Filed under: Candidatus Lloydbacteria bacterium CG22_combo_CG10-13_8_21_14_all_47_15
Lineage: Bacteria; Candidatus Lloydiibacteriota
Description: tRNA-Leu
Rfam family: tRNA
About the family: Transfer RNA (tRNA) molecules are approximately 80 nucleotides in length. Their secondary structure includes four short double-helical elements and three loops (D, anti-codon, and T loops). Further hydrogen bonds mediate the characteristic L-shaped molecular structure. tRNAs have two regions of fundamental functional importance: the anti-codon, which is responsible for specific mRNA codon recognition, and the 3' end, to which the tRNAs corresponding amino acid is attached (by aminoacyl-tRNA synthetases). tRNAs cope with the degeneracy of the genetic code in two manners: having more than one tRNA (with a specific anti-codon) for a particular amino acid; and 'wobble' base-pairing, i.e. permitting non-standard base-pairing at the 3rd anti-codon position.
Source: RNAcentral